RNAcentral lists this ribosomal RNA (652 nucleotides) under uncultured Glomeromycotina. Its description in RNAcentral is "SSU rRNA". It matches the Rfam family "Eukaryotic small subunit ribosomal RNA", at positions 373 to 1029 of the family's 1831-position model. The record is from RNAcentral. Lineage: Eukaryota; Fungi; Glomeromycota.
GGGCACGACACCGGAGAGGGAGCCUGAGAAACGGCUACCACAUCCAAGGAUGGCAGCAGGCGCGCAAAUUACCCAAUCCCGACACGGGGAGGUAGUGACAAUAAAUAACAAUACGGGGUUCUUUAGGAUCUCGUAAUUGGAAUGAGUACAAUUUAAAUCUCUUAACGAGGAACAAUUGGAGGGCAAGUCUGGUGCCAGCAGCCGCGGUAAUUCCAGCUCCAAUAGCGUAUAUUAAAGUUGUUGCAGUUAAAAAGCUCGUAGUUGAAUUUCGGGGUUAGUAGGUUGGUCAUGCCUCUGGUAUGUACUGGUCUCACUGAUUCCUCCUUCCUGAUGAGCCGUAAUGCCAUUAAUUUGGUGUUGCGGGGAAUUUGGACUGUUACUUUGAAAAAAUUAGAGUGUUUAAAGCAAGCUAACGCUUGAAUACAUUAGCAUGGAAUAAUGAAAUAGGACGUUCGAUCCUAUUUUGUUGGUUUCUAGGAUUGACGUAAUGAUUAAUAGGGAUAGUUGGGGGCAUUAGUAUUCAAUUGUCAGAGGUGAAAUUCUUGGAUUUAUUGAAGACUAACUACUGCGAAAGCAUUUGCCAAGGAUGUUUUCAUUAAUCAAGAACGAAAGUUAGGGGAUCGAAGACGAUCAGAUACCGUCGUAGUCUUAA